This 806-nucleotide long non-coding RNA is filed under the name Mytilus galloprovincialis (Mediterranean mussel). The record is from RNAcentral. Lineage: Eukaryota; Metazoa; Mollusca; Bivalvia; Mytilida; Mytilidae.
CAUUUUCGUUUUCCUCCCAAAAUAACCCAAACUGAAACACGUUAAGCAAGUAUGAUAAAUGCUAGAACUCAAAAUGAUAGCAGAAAGCAAAUUUAUAUACUUUAUUCAUAGUCUUUGUAUGUUCAAGGUACAGAAAAGGAAUUUAUAGUAAAUUAUAACAAAUACAGUUAUUCAUAGUAAAUGUAUGUAAGUAUGUACAGAAAUAUAUCCGCAGUGACCGCCGUUGAUUAUAAACCAUAGGCGGAUCCCAUUGGGGGCCUGGAGGUCCUGCCCCCGUUUUCGUUGAAAAAAAAUUGUUGAUUAUAUGGGGAAUCACUGAAGCAUGAGAGGAACGCCCCCCCCCCCUUUUAGGUCAGUCAGUGCCCCCCUCCCUUAUGAAAAGUUCUGGAUCCGCCACUGUAAACUAAUUGAUAGUAAAUAGCAAAUAUUAUUCAUUUUCGUUUUCCUCCCACAAUAACCCAAACUGAAACACGUUAAGCAAGGAUGAUACAUGCUAGAACUCAAAAUGACAGCAGAAAGCAAAUUUAUAUACUUUAUUCAUAGUCUUUGUAUGUUCAAAGUACAGAAAAAUACAAACCGGAAGUCUAAUCUGACUUAAAGUUUUGUCCAAUGACGGGAAAAUAUCCGGACGCAUUCUUUUUCGUUUUUAUCCCAAAAUAACCCCAACUGAAUGAUCAUAAGAAUGGAUGACAAAUGCGACUAUACAUGUUACCUAUAGGACACAGAGACAUGAUGAUUAAUUUAUUGUGGAAGGAGGAGAAGCGACACCCAAAAUGAGGUCUUCUCGUUUAAUAGUAUAGAUAUAC